This 26-nucleotide transfer RNA is filed under the name Acmopyle pancheri. RNAcentral's name for it is "partial tRNA-Cys". Lineage: Eukaryota; Viridiplantae; Streptophyta; Pinopsida; Araucariales; Podocarpaceae. The record is from RNAcentral.
UCCAGUUCGGAAUCUGGGUGUCGCCU